Molecule: ribosomal RNA, 226 nt
Filed under: uncultured bacterium
Lineage: Bacteria
Description: partial 16S ribosomal RNA
Rfam family: Bacterial small subunit ribosomal RNA
Source: RNAcentral
GCGUUAAUCGGAAUUACUGUGCGUAAAGCGUGCGCAGGCGGUUAUAUAAGACAGAUGUGAAAUCCCCGGGCUCAAACUGGGAACUGCAUUUGUGACUGUAUAGCUAGAGUACGGCAGAGGGGGAUGGAAUUCCGCGUGUAGCAGUGAAAUGCGUAGAUAUGCGGAGGAACACCGAUGGCGAAGGCAAUCCCCUGGGCCUGUACUGACGCUCAUGCACGAAAGCGUG